AGUGAACGCUGGCGGUAGGCCUAACACAUGCAAGUCGAACGGCAGCACAGUAAGAGCUUGCUCUUACGGGUGGCGAGUGGCGGACGGGUGAGGAGUACAUCGGAAUCUACUUUUUCGUGGGGGAUAACGUAGGGAAACUUACGCUAAUACCGUAUACGACCUACGGGUGAAAGCAGGGGAUCUUCGGACCUUGCGCGAUUGAAUGAGCCGAUGUCGGAUUAGCUAGUUGGCGGGGUAAAGGCCCACCAAGGCGACGAUCCGUAGCUGGUCUGAGAGGAUGAUCAGCCACACUGGAACUGAGACACGGUCCAGACUCCUACGGGAGGCAGCAGUGGGGAAUAUUGGACAAUGGGCGCAAGCCUGAUCCAGCCAUACCGCGUGGGUGAAGAAGGCCUUCGGGUUGUAAAGCCCUUUUGUUGGGAAAGAAAAGCAGCAGGUUAAUACCCCGCUGUUCUGACGGUACCCAAAGAAUAAGCACCGGCUAACUUCGUG
Molecule: ribosomal RNA, 492 nt
Filed under: uncultured bacterium
Lineage: Bacteria
Description: partial 16S ribosomal RNA
Rfam family: Bacterial small subunit ribosomal RNA
Source: RNAcentral